This 169-nucleotide ribosomal RNA is filed under the name uncultured bacterium. Its description in RNAcentral is "partial 16S ribosomal RNA". It matches the Rfam family "Bacterial small subunit ribosomal RNA", at positions 338 to 524 of the family's 1533-position model. The record is from RNAcentral.
CCUACGGGAGGCAGCAGUGGGGGAUAUUGCACAAUGGGGGAAACCCUGAUGCAGCGAUGCCGCGUGAAUGAUGAAGGCUUUCGAGUCGUAAAGUUCUGUUCUUAGGGAAGAUAGUGACGGUACCUAAGAAGAAAGCCCCGGCUAAAUACGUGCCAGCAGCCGCGGUAAU